AGCUCUUUCAUCCAAGUUUUAACCUGCUUCGACUCUGCUUUGCCGUUGAAAUCUUAAGGGAUCAGGAGCUUUCAAAGCAAUGUGUUGUAAAGGUCGUCGGUGAGUUCAAUUUAUCACAAAACGAAAAAGCAAUGUUAAACGGUGAUUUGGAUAUAAAAUCCAAAAGCACUUGAUUGAAAAACUCUUAUCCUAACAUGCAUUGGAGCAUCUUGAAGUUCCACCUAGAAAAUGCAUCGAACUCCCCUCCUUAAGAUUGCAUCCAGCGGUCCUACGGCAAAGCUGAAAGUAGCAAAGUUUUAUUUUCCUCUUCGCACAUCCAUUCCGCCAUGGCACACGGUCAAACAUGAAGAACUCAUCCACAGUGAUGAGGACAUAAAAUAACACCACCCACACUCCUCUCGCAUCAAGUCCCGAGCACGUCUCCAAAGCCAACAACUUUAAUGGUCUCUCCUUCCCAGCAUCUCCCACUCCCUUCCAUCAGCCACCAUUCCCUCCAUGUGGUCCUCCUUUUUGGCUGGGCGGGGCCGAAGCUCUUAGCUCUGUUGCCUCGGCCGUGCCACUCACAGUUGCGAAGGGGGAGAUAGCGCAAGGAGUUCUGAGAGAGGGUGGCAACUGCCUGUACUCUCAUUUCUUCACCGAGUCGUGCUCCCUGCCGCCGCUGCGGGCGAAGUGAAGACAAAGUCUACACGGCAGCCAACGAAACCUUCAAGAGAGACUUUUGGAAGUGACAGGAGGCGCCCAAACCUCCAUCCCGCCCAGCGUUGGAGUAAGCCACACGUGUCGCCUUCUGCUUUUCACCCACAUGGGAUAAGCAGAGGUCCUCUGAGAUUCCAUGCCAGCGAUACCUUGGUGACUGGAAAUGAUUAUCCAGACGUGGCGGCUGAUGUUCCAGAGAGAUACCGUCCUCCUCCGCAAGGCUCUUCACCGGUGUACGAAGGCCUUCCUAUAGAAUACAUUGACGCUGAUUCAAAGUCGAGUAAGGAGCAGCUGCUGGAAGCUUGGAAAAGGUUUCUUCCAGGACAGAGAAUGGCAAUGGCUACGUCGGACGUCUCUGCCUUGUCCGGCAGUGUUGAGGUAUUGCUAAACAAAGUUUACUUGUUUACUUGAGGUACGACACAUAGUAGUGCUGCCGAAUAUAUCAUUUGCACACUUACAUGCACAAGGCAGAUUUCUUCACAUACAUGGGUGGUUCAAAGUUGACG
Molecule: long non-coding RNA, 1202 nt
Filed under: Eptatretus burgeri (inshore hagfish)
Lineage: Eukaryota; Metazoa; Chordata; Myxini; Myxiniformes; Myxinidae
Description: lncRNA (ENSEBUG00000017532.1)
Source: RNAcentral